GAAAUGCGAUAAGUAGUGUGAAUUGCAGAAUUCAGUGAAUCAUCGAAUCUUUGAACGCACAUUGCGCCCUUUGGUAUUCCAAAGGGCAUGCCUGUUCGAGCGUCAUUUGUACCCUCAAGCUUUGCUUGGUGUUGGGCGUCUUGUCUCUAGCUUUGCUGGAGACUCGCCUUAAAGUAAUUGGCAGCCGGCCUACUGGUUUCGGAGCGCAGCACAAGUCGCACUCUCUAUCAGCAAAGGUCUAGCAUCCAUUAAGCCUUUUUUCAACCUUUGACCUCGGAUCAGGUAGGGAUACCCGCUGAACUUAAGC
This 307-nucleotide unclassified non-coding RNA is filed under the name plant metagenome. RNAcentral's name for it is "partial contains 5.8S ribosomal RNA, internal transcribed spacer 2, and large subunit ribosomal RNA". The stretch from base 1 to 105 matches the Rfam family "5.8S ribosomal RNA", at positions 50 to 154 of the family's 154-position model. The record is from RNAcentral.